Molecule: ribosomal RNA, 487 nt
Filed under: uncultured soil bacterium
Lineage: Bacteria
Description: bacterial SSU rRNA
Rfam family: Bacterial small subunit ribosomal RNA
Source: RNAcentral
AGAGUGAACGCUGGCGGCAGGCCUAACACAUGCAAGUCGAACGGCAGCACAGAGGAGCUUGCUCCUUGGGUGGCGAGUGGCGGACGGGUGAGGAAUACGUCGGAAUCUACCUAUUUGUGGGGGAUAACGUAGGGAAACUUACGCUAAUACCGCAUACGACCUACGGGUGAAAGCGGAGGACCUUCGGGCUUCGCGCGGAUAGAUGAGCCGACGUCGGAUUAGCUAGUGGCGGGUAAAGCCCACCAAGGCGACGAUCCGUAGCUGGUCUGAGAGGAUGAUCAGCCACACUGGAACUGAGACACGGUCCAGACUCCUACGGGAGCAGCAGGUGGGAAUAUUGGACAAUGGGACGCAAAGCCUGAUCCAGCCAUGCCGCUGUGUGAAGAAGGCUUCGGUUAGUAAGCUACGUUUUGUAACCGGAAAGAAAAGACACGUAGGUUAAUACCCGUGGUGUCAGUGACGUACGGAAGAAUAGCACGAUAACUCG